AACGAACGCUGGCGGCAGGCCUAACACAUGCAAGUCGAACGCUCGUAGCAAUACGAGAGUGGCAGACGGGUGAGUAACACGUGGGAACCUUCCCUAUGGUUCGGAAUAGCUCAGGGAAACUUGGGGUAAUACCGGAUAAGCCCUUCGGGGGAAGGGAUUUAUCGCCAUUGGAUGGGCCCGCGUCGGAUUAGCUAGUUGGUGAGGUAACGGCUCACCAAGGCAACGAUCCGUAGCUGGUCUGAGAGGAUGAUCAGCCACACUGGGACUGAGACACGGCCCAGACUCCUACGGGAGGCAGCAGUGGGGAAUAUUGGACAAUGGGCGCAAGCCUGAUCCAGCCAUGCCGCGUGAGUGACGAAGG
Molecule: ribosomal RNA, 361 nt
Filed under: uncultured bacterium
Lineage: Bacteria
Description: bacterial SSU rRNA
Rfam family: Bacterial small subunit ribosomal RNA
Source: RNAcentral